Arabis alpina (gray rockcress) is the source of this 107-nucleotide non-coding RNA. The record is from Rfam. Lineage: Eukaryota; Viridiplantae; Streptophyta; Magnoliopsida; Brassicales; Brassicaceae.
AUCCCAUGGUGAGGACAACUUCUAGUGUAUCCCUUCAGGCGCUCCCAAGCUUCACUUAGAGAUUCUUGACCACCUUGCAUGAAAGAGUUUAUAUCACUUAUGUACUU